UACAGCGCCGCGCUCUAUGUGUGUAGGGGACCUAUCCAUGCAUGAGGUGUGAUUGUGUAGGACACACAGAGUGUACUAGCUCUGUCAAAAGUUCUUAACCGACGGCAUCAUAUAAGACUUGGGUUUUACUGUACGCUGCGGUCGAAACUUUUCGCUGAUACGUGUACCUCCAGAACUACCUUAACGGCAGCAAGAACGGAAUUU
Neodiprion fabricii is the source of this 204-nucleotide long non-coding RNA. RefSeq lists it as uncharacterized. The record is from RefSeq and is a predicted model, not a curated record. NCBI's taxonomy places the organism in Eukaryota, Metazoa, Arthropoda, Insecta, Hymenoptera, Diprionidae. The transcript is spliced from 3 exons.